Non-coding RNA from Steinernema glaseri, 106 nucleotides. The record is from Rfam. Lineage: Eukaryota; Metazoa; Nematoda; Chromadorea; Rhabditida; Steinernematidae.
CUGUCCGAGGGGCGCUGCAGCAGGUUCUCCUGUCAGGCUCGGAUGGGGCGUUGCCUGCACGGGGUUCCCCGCACGGGCACUAAACGCACAACGGCGCCCAUUCGCA